Molecule: ribosomal RNA, 497 nt
Filed under: uncultured bacterium
Lineage: Bacteria
Description: partial 16S ribosomal RNA
Rfam family: Bacterial small subunit ribosomal RNA
Source: RNAcentral
GAUGAACGCUGGCGGCGUGCCUAAUACAUGCAAGUCGAGCGAACAGACGAGGAUCUUGCUCCUCUGACGUUAGCGGCGGACGGGUGAGUCACACGUGUAUAACCUACCUAUAAGACGGAGAUAACUUCGGGAAACCGGAUCUAAUACCAUAGAAUCUAUUGAACCGCAUUGUUCGAUAGUGAAAUACGGUUUUGCUGGCACGUAUAGAUGGAUCCGCGCCGCAUUAGCUAGUUGGUAAGGUAACGGCUUACCAAGGCGACGAUGCGUAGCCGACCUGAGAGAGUGAUCGGCCACACUGGAACUGAGACAGGGUCCAGACUCCUACGGGAGGCAGCAGUCGGGAACCUUACGCAAUGGGCGGAAGCAUGACAGAGCAACGCCGCGCGAGUGAUGACGGCCUCCGGAUCGUAAAACCGUGUUACUAGGGAAGAACAACUGUGUCCGUAAAUGUGCCCUUAUUGACGGUAACUAAUAAGAAAGCAACGGCUAACUACGUG